GACGAACGCUGGCGGCGUGCUUAACACAUGCAAGUCGAACGGAAAGGCCCUGCUUUUGUGGGGUGCUCGAGUGGCGAACGGGUGAGUAACACGUGAGUAACCUGCCCUUGACUUUGGGAUAACUUCAGGAAACUGGGGCUAAUACCGGAUAGGAGCUCCUGCUGCAUGGUGGGGGUUGGAAAGUUUCGGCGGUUGGGGAUGGACUCGCGGCUUAUCAGCUUGUUGGUGGGGUAGUGGCUUACCAAGGCUUUGACGGGUAGCCGGCCUGAGAGGGUGACCGGCCAUAUUGGGACUGAGAUACGGCCCAGACUCCUACGGGAGGCAGCAGUGGGGAAUAUUGGACAAUGGGCGGAAGCCUGAUGCAGCAACGCCGCGUGCGGGAUGACGGCCUUCGGGUUGUAAACCGCUUUCGCCUGUGACGAAGCGUGAGUGACGGUAAUGGGUAAAGAAGCACCGGCUAACUACGUG
Molecule: ribosomal RNA, 468 nt
Filed under: uncultured bacterium
Lineage: Bacteria
Description: partial 16S ribosomal RNA
Rfam family: Bacterial small subunit ribosomal RNA
Source: RNAcentral